This 787-nucleotide ribosomal RNA is filed under the name Candidatus Poseidoniales archaeon. RNAcentral describes it as "partial 23S ribosomal RNA". It matches the Rfam family "Archaeal large subunit ribosomal RNA", at positions 2199 to 2987 of the family's 2987-position model. Lineage: Archaea; Methanobacteriati; Thermoplasmatota; Candidatus Poseidoniia; Candidatus Poseidoniales. The record is from RNAcentral.
UAGUCGCUUUCCAUGUACUGUGUAGGUGGGAGAUGUUGAUCUCCAGGACGUCAGUCUUGGAAGUAGUCGAAAAUAGAGACACCACCCUUGGAGAGUAACUAUGCUAACUGUUUAUCAGGACACCGAUUGGUGGGCAGUUUGGGUGGGGCGCCACGCGCUCGAAAACCUAACAAGCGUGCCCAAUGGUCAGCUUAAGUGGUUCAGCACUCCACUGUUAACUGUAAGGGGAAAAGCUGGCUUGACGUGGAUCGGCACAAUAACGAUCGACGAUGCGAAAGCAGGGCCUAACGAACCUACCAGGCUUAUAAUUGAGGCCGGUAGAUAACAGAAAAGUUACCUCGGGGAUAAUUGAGUUGUCACCAGCAAGAGCUCACAUCGACCUGGUGGCUUGCUACUUCGAUGUCGUCUCUUCCUAUCCUGGGUCUGCAGCAGGACCCAAGGGUGGGGUUGUUCGCCCAUUAAAAGGGAUCGUGAGAUGGGUUUAGACCGUCGUGAGACAGGUUUGUUGCUUGGUGGUAGAAUCGCAUAAGGUGUUUGAUGGAAGGGGUCCUUUAGUACGAGAGGAACGAGGGCUCGGGGCCACUAGUUUACCAGUUGUCUGACAAGGCAAUGCUGGGUAGCCACGCCCUGAAGGAUAAGAGCUGAAAGCAUCUAAGCUCGAAGCCACCCCAAAGACGAGACACCUCAGAACACUCGUAAAAGACGAGAUUAAUAGAAUGCGGAUGUAAGUACGAAGCUUCGGCGACGUAUUCAGUCCAGCAUCACUAACGUUCGAGCAUCUUUUUUC